UUACAGCAAAUGUUUAGAGGGAUGUCGGCCCCUGCUGCCCCUGCGGCCCCUGCUGCCCCUGCGGCCCCUGCCGCCCCUGCCGCUCCUGUUUUAGGGCAGCACAACCCAAGCUCUCCGACUUCAGCGUGGGUUGAUUUAAUGCUGAAGAUAGAUGAACUGCAUGGGACAAUCAGGGACGAAUUUAAAAAUUUCAGAACUAUUCAGCAAUCUAAUAAAGGGAAUUUAUGUUGUGAAAGAUUUUGCAAAAGAUGUUGCGAAAGACGUUGCAAAAGAUGUUGCGAACGAUACUGCAUUGCACAUUGCAAUCAGUGGUGCAAUCAUUAUUUUUUUAGACUUUUUUUCAUAUCCCUUUUUAUUAUCGGGUCAAUAUGUUUUAUUUUUGCUUGCACAUUAUCCGGUGGUAACACCGCAGUUAUUCUAAGUUUGGUAGGGUCAUUUUUUUUAAGUUCCAUAUCUGUUUUUAGUCUAUGGUGUCGAUCUUAGAAUAGAGUUUUCUAUCCUCGAUAAAAUUCAUUCUAUGAACCAAACAUAGCAUAAUAGUUUGAGUUAGAUCGAUUGGUAAGGCUUUGGUUCAUGUUGCAAAAGUCCUAGAUCAAUUCAUGUGAUUGUACACAGGUGGUUCAUGUUGCAUCACAGGUUGUUCCUACCAAUUGGUAAGGCUUUGGUUCAUGUGUCAAAUCUCUCUUAUUUGUCAUAGGAAAUAUAGAUACUAUACAACUAUUUGAUUGAUUUUCCUGCAUCACAGGUUGUUCCUACAAUCUAUACUGAUAUCAGAGGCCGUAAAAUUUACUCCAACCAGAAAUGCAGAUGCAUAUCUGAAGCUGCCAGCUGGCGUUUACUUCUUUUAUGACUUCUCCCCAAUCAAGGUCAUAUUUACCAAAGAAAAUGCAUCGCUGCUGCACCUUUUGCUAUUAUUGGAGGUGUUUUUACUGUCUCCAGAAUCAUUGAUGCUUUUAUCUACCAUGGGCAUGGCGCAAUCAAGAAGAAGAUGGAACUUGGAAAGCACUCAUGAUUCCACCUUGGAUUGAAAUAUGGUUUAUUUGAGGGAGGUGAAAGCUAUUUCUACUGGGCAGGCUAGGCUAUUCUGCCAAUUCCAUUGGUUUGUGGGCAUUCAAGUAUUCAAGCGAGAGUACAAAAGAUGUAUACAACAGGAACAAAAUUCUGAUGAGAACUCGUUUCGUUGAUGUGUAUAAUUCGAUUGCUGUUGCCAAGACAAGAAUGAUCUUUUUCCUUUUCCAAACUUGGCGGCAAACGGAAGAGAACAAUUAUUCCUUUUCCAAACUUAACAUGUAAAAAGUGGUUCACGUCUUA
Molecule: long non-coding RNA, 1311 nt
Organism: Zingiber officinale
Lineage: Eukaryota; Viridiplantae; Streptophyta; Magnoliopsida; Zingiberales; Zingiberaceae
Exons: 5
Source: RefSeq, a predicted model, not a curated record